ANGGGGUGCAGCAGGCGAGAAAACUUUGCAAUGUGCGAAAGCACGACAAGGUUAAUCCGAGUGAUUUCUGCUAAAGAAAUCUUUUGCCAGUCAUAAAACCACUGGUGAAUAAGGGGUGGGCAAGUUCUGGUGUCAGCCGCCGCGGUAAAACCAGCACCUCAAGUGGUCAGGAUGAUUAUUGGGCCUAAAGCAUCCGUAGCCGGCUUUGUAAGUUUUCGGUUAAAUCCAUGUNNUNAANGCAUGGGCUGCCGAAAAUACUGCAUGGCUAGGGAGUGGGAGAGGUAGACGGUACUCAGUAGGAAGGGGUAAAAUCCUUUGAUCUAUUGAUGACCACCUGUGGCGAAGGCGGUCUACCAGAACACGUUCGACGGUGAGGGAUGAAAGCUGGGGGAGCAAACCGGAUUAGAUACCCGGGUAGUCCCAGCUGUAAACGAUGCAGACUCGAUGAUGCAUUGGCAUAAUNNNCNNUGCAGUGUCGCAGGGAAGCCGUUAAGUCUGCCGCCUGGGAAGUACGUACGCAAGUAUGAAACUUAAAGGANNNNNGGGGGAGCAC
RNAcentral lists this ribosomal RNA (553 nucleotides) under uncultured crenarchaeote. Its description in RNAcentral is "16S ribosomal RNA". It matches the Rfam family "Archaeal small subunit ribosomal RNA", at positions 325 to 879 of the family's 1478-position model. The record is from RNAcentral. Lineage: Archaea; Thermoproteati; Thermoproteota.